This 247-nucleotide ribosomal RNA is filed under the name uncultured bacterium. RNAcentral's name for it is "partial 16S ribosomal RNA". It matches the Rfam family "Bacterial small subunit ribosomal RNA", at positions 93 to 334 of the family's 1533-position model. The record is from RNAcentral.
GAGCGGCGGACGGGUGAGUAACACGUGGGUAACCUGCCCAAGAGACUGGGAUAACACCUGGAAACAGAUGCUAAUACCGGAUAACAACACUAGACGCAUGUCUAGAGUUUAAAAGAUGGUUCUGCUAUCACUCUUGGAUGGACCUGCGGUGCAUUAGCUAGUUGGUAAGGUAACGGCUUACCAAGGCAAUGAUGCAUAGCCGAGUUGAGAGACUGAUCGGCCACAUUGGGACUGAGACACGGCCCAA